GUGAUUUGACCUCCGGGUCUUAACUCUAUUCCACAUACCUCUGUGAACCGUUGGUCUCCGGACCUACUUUAACAAACAAUAGUGUAAUGAACGUGAAAACAUAUAACAAUAAUA
RNAcentral lists this unclassified non-coding RNA (114 nucleotides) under uncultured Basidiomycota. RNAcentral's name for it is "sequence contains ITS1". Lineage: Eukaryota; Fungi; Basidiomycota. The record is from RNAcentral.